This 168-nucleotide ribosomal RNA is filed under the name Macroptilium atropurpureum. RNAcentral's name for it is "5.8S ribosomal RNA". It matches the Rfam family "5.8S ribosomal RNA". From Rfam's summary of the family: 5.8S ribosomal RNA (5.8S rRNA) is a component of the large subunit of the eukaryotic ribosome. The record is from RNAcentral. RNAcentral also lists the same sequence under 4 other names. Lineage: Eukaryota; Viridiplantae; Streptophyta; Magnoliopsida; Fabales; Fabaceae.
AUGUAAAAUGACUCUCGGCAACGGAUAUCUCGGCUCUUGCAUCGAUGAAGAACGUAGCGAAAUGCGAUACUUGGUGUGAAUUGCAGAAUCCCGUGAACCAUCGAGUCUUUGAACGCAAGUUGCGCCCGAAGCCAUUAGGUUGAGGGCACGCCUGCCUGGGUGUCACAC